ACAUCUGCACCCUCACCCGGACCAUCCCAGGUCUGCUCAAGAUGGGACAGAUGGUAGCCUGGCUUUCUUCUACCUGAAGUGGGUCAGGAUGUUGCUUUGGGCUCGUGUGCUUUCAAGAGGAGCGUAACACAUCGCAGUGGCAGCAUAUAUAUACAAAACAACGAGGGGCCAAGGAUGGAGCCUUGAGGAACACCACAGGUCAGAGGGGCCACAGAAGAGGAGGCAUUUCCCAUGGCUACUGAGAAAGUUCUGUUUGAUGAAUAGGAUUAAUCCAGUCUAGAGCAGUGUCCCUGAUGCCAACCCAAGGUGAUCCAAUAGGAUAGUGAUCCAGUGUCGAAUGCAAAGCUCAAAUCAAGAGGAAUUAAAAUCGAACAAUCACCAGCAUCAGUAAAAGGUCGUUUGAUGAGAGCAGUUUUUGGUGCUAUGACAUGCACAGAAACCUGAUCAAAAUUUGUCAAAAACAACAUUAUUAUUCAUAAAGAAAUCAACCAUAAGUAGACAAUCAUUUCUAAUACUUCUGAUAAAAAUGGUAAUAAAUGGGUCUCAAUUUUUUAAAAUCAAUAGGGUUGAGGUUUCUUUUGCAGUGGGUGUACUACUGCUUGCUUAAGGCAGGAGGGAACACAGCCAACGGAUAGAGAGCUAUUUACAAAAGAUAAAAUAGUGGGUUCAAUACUGUUAAAACCAUCUUUGAGAAAUCUGGCAGGCAUAAGAUCUGAAGGACUCGAUGAAUGCCUUAAUUUGGCCAUUUUGUCCUUAAAGUGCACAGUGAAAGGGCCUCAAAUUUACUGAGCAAAGCAGAGGGGUUGCAGUGUGGGUGUGAAGAAGGAGAAGGGUUACCAGUGAUAUCAGGGACGUGCAGAGGAUGUUAAAGGCACAGGGCCCCAGGUUGAUUUUUGCAAAUAAUUAAAUAAGAUUAUGCCUGGAAUGACUGCU
Thunnus maccoyii (southern bluefin tuna) is the source of this 933-nucleotide long non-coding RNA. RefSeq lists it as uncharacterized. The transcript is spliced from 3 exons. The record is from RefSeq and is a predicted model, not a curated record. NCBI's taxonomy places the organism in Eukaryota, Metazoa, Chordata, Actinopteri, Scombriformes, Scombridae.